UCCGACAGGUGAAAGCCCGCG
Molecule: unclassified non-coding RNA, 21 nt
Filed under: Chlamydomonas reinhardtii
Lineage: Eukaryota; Viridiplantae; Chlorophyta; Chlorophyceae; Chlamydomonadales; Chlamydomonadaceae
Description: small RNA Cre_2569
Source: RNAcentral